RNAcentral lists this transfer RNA (73 nucleotides) under Bacteroidales bacterium KHT7. It matches the Rfam family "tRNA". Rfam says of the family: Transfer RNA (tRNA) molecules are approximately 80 nucleotides in length. The record is from Rfam by way of RNAcentral. RNAcentral also lists the same sequence under 2 other names. Lineage: Bacteria; Pseudomonadati; Bacteroidota; Bacteroidia; Bacteroidales.
GCGGUUAUAGCUCAGUUGGUAGAGCGUUGGCUUCCCAAGCCGAAGGUCACGGGUUCGAGACCCGCUAACCGCU